UAAAAGCACUUGCCUGGAGGCGACCGAUAUGAAGAGCAAUGUCCAGUACACACAAGUUACGUGAAUCUUCAUUUUUUCGCGGGUCUCACAUCACAAAUCACGUAGAAAAUGCUGUUGUCAGCAGACAGACACUUUUAUUAAACGUUGGAUAAUGUCAUUGCUCCAUCACCAUAUCAUUGUGGUUGCCGCCAUCACUACCGCUUUUAUCACUGUAACUACCUCCAUCUCCAUACCGAUUCUGCCAUCACUGUCGCCACCAGUCACUGCUGCUCAAAAACUGACGUGUAAUUGAACCGUUGGCGUUGACAAGAUUAAUUCGUUAACGAGCUUGUCAGCAGCUUCCUUUAUCAUAAUGCGAGGCCAAUUUUUCUAAGGAAUAAUUACGAUCAACCACGGGAGUGUACAUUUUCCUCAGAACACGCAUUGUGGGCUAUAACGUUAUAACAAAAACAGCUGAUUCGACUGACGCAUGCGCCCGGCGCGCCUGAAAAUAAUGUAUGUAAUGAUUUUUCAGAAUUUGACUGUAAUAUUUGAGGUAUAGUGAGUAUCACAUAUUGGUUUAUUACAUUAUUUCUAUAAUAAUUCAUUUCAAGCUUUUAUUUGAAGUCUCCAUUUUUCGGAAUUUUUUUGGUGGUUUUAUUUUUUUAAAAGUAAGAUUAUUAAUAACAGCAACUGGAAAAAAUCUGUAACGUGUGUUUUUGAGAGCUAAGAUAUGCUUGAAUUUUUUAAGAAUGUUUAUUGUAUAUUUACUUAAAUAGGUAGUUUACUUUAUUGAGAUAUUUUUGGAAAACAUUUUAUGGGUAAUCACAUGAAUUAAUUGUACAUUAACUUUAUAAAAAUCUACUACUAUAUUACAGAUCAUAUUUAUUUAAACAAUUCUCAGGUUAGUAGAUGAUACAAGUAAAAAAUAAAGAAUGUAAAAUGUUGGCUACGCUGAUCCAAACAAAAUGACAAUGUAUCAGAUUGUAUGCAAGAAGCAAUGAAAGAACACACCUGCACCGCAUCUCACUGUAUGGAUUAUGAUUAUACUAAGUAAUAAGAGAUCAUCUAAGUCUAAGGAAUGUUAAGACUGGAAGAUGAUGUAACAGAGUCUUGAACAAAAGAAGGAAUGCUAGAAUCUUCAUACAUUUUCAUUUUAAUGCCUAUAUUUUUCUAUUUUAAUCUUUUAUUUUAUUCUUUUUAGAUAAGUAAACUGAGACUAGAUUCAGUUAGUAGACUCAGUUCAGCAUAAAUAAAAAAUGGCUUCAAGUUAUGCAAUUUAUAUGAGUGCAUUUAUUCACUAAUUAAUAUUUUAUUUAAUUUAUGAUAUUCUUGUUGGGAACACUGGAAUAAUGGAGGGUUGACUAGAUACUUUUAAAUAAAUGUACGUUUGGUGACUA
Molecule: long non-coding RNA, 1379 nt
Organism: Megalopta genalis
Lineage: Eukaryota; Metazoa; Arthropoda; Insecta; Hymenoptera; Halictidae
Source: RefSeq, a predicted model, not a curated record